RNAcentral lists this ribosomal RNA (460 nucleotides) under uncultured bacterium. RNAcentral describes it as "partial 16S ribosomal RNA". It matches the Rfam family "Bacterial small subunit ribosomal RNA", at positions 338 to 795 of the family's 1533-position model. The record is from RNAcentral.
CCUACGGGAGGCUGCAGUGAGGAAUAUUGGUCAAUGGGCGCGAGCCUGAACCAGCCACGUAGCGUGAAGGCUGACUGCCCUACGGGUUGUCACCUUCUUUUAUAAAGGAAUCAAGUGAGGCACGUGUGCCUUUUUGUAUGUACUUUAUGAAUAAGGCUCGGCUAACUCCGUGCCAGCAGCCGCGGUAAUACGGAGGAUCCGAGCGUUAUCCGGAUUUCUUGGGUGUAAAGGGAGCGUAGAUGGGUUGUUAAGUCAGUUGUGAAAGUUUGCGGCUCAACCGUAAAAUUGCAAUUGAUACUGGCAGUCUUGAGUACAGUUGAGGUAGGCGGAAUUCGUGGUGUAGCGGUGAAAUGCUUAGAUAUCACGAAGAACGCCGAUGGCGAAGGCAGCUUACUAAACUGCCACUGACAUUGAUGCUCGAAAGUGUGGGUAUCAAACAGGAUUAGAUACCCCUGUAGUC